RNAcentral lists this ribosomal RNA (244 nucleotides) under uncultured bacterium. RNAcentral's name for it is "partial 16S ribosomal RNA". It matches the Rfam family "Bacterial small subunit ribosomal RNA", at positions 91 to 334 of the family's 1533-position model. The record is from RNAcentral.
AUGAGUGGCGAACGGGUGAGUAACACGUGAGUAACCUGUCCCUUCUUUGGGAUAACGCCCGGAAACGGGUGCUAAUACUGGAUAUUCACUGGCCUUCGCAUGGGGGUUGGUGGAAAGGUUUUUUCUGGUGGGGGAUGGGCUCGCGGCCUAUCAGCUUGUUGGUGGGGUGAUGGCCUACCAAGGCUUUGACGGGUAGCCGGCCUGAGAGGGUGACCGGUCACAUUGGGACUGAGAUACGGCCCAG